Non-coding RNA from Cucurbita pepo subsp. pepo (vegetable marrow), 709 nucleotides. NCBI's taxonomy places the organism in Eukaryota, Viridiplantae, Streptophyta, Magnoliopsida, Cucurbitales, Cucurbitaceae. The record is from RefSeq and is a predicted model, not a curated record.
CUCUUCUUCAGCACAUUCUCACGCUAGAAACAGAGCGCUCCAUCAACGACCUCCGAAAUCGCUAGAUCAUUACCAGGCAAUCGGAGGGAGAGAGAGAGGGCAGACGCCUCGUCUCGGUGAUGAAAAAUAGAGAAGAGAGCAGGACGACGAACUCUUAUGUCAUUGAGAUUUGUUCCGAAAACAGAGAGGGGAAGAACAAGGCAGUUGGUCUUGUCAUUGAGGCCGGUUGGAUUUUCGCAUCUGCUAGGAAUGCUGAUCCAUGGUGUGCUGGAGGUGAUUUUAAUGUCACUCAUUGGGUCUAGAGCGUCAUCAUACUAGAACGCAUACUAAGGGAAUGAAGAAUUUUAAAAAGAUCAUUGAGGAGACUGGUUUGAUGAAAACUUCCCUUCUGAAUGUCAAUGUGUGGAAGGAAAUAGAGUGUUGUUUUGAUGCUGAAGCUGCGAGUUAGGAUCUUUGUAAGAGCUAAACAUUCUACCAAUUGGUUUUUGGUUUAUAAUAACUAUUUAGUUUUUUACUCUUACUUUUUAAAAAUUAAGCCUGUAAUACUAAUUUCAUCGAUCCAUUUUCUUAUUUAAAUUGUGUGCAUCAUGUAGUCAAUAUCAAGUCAUUUGUGGUGCAAUUGCUUAUUCAAAUAGAAAAUUACCACAAUUCAACAUGUAUUCGAUCAAAAAUUACAUGACAUAAUGUAAUUUUCAUAUUUUUUAUGUUC